UAGUGGUUGUGAAUUUACCUU
This 21-nucleotide microRNA is filed under the name Callithrix jacchus (white-tufted-ear marmoset). RNAcentral describes it as "cja-miR-4460". The record is from miRBase by way of RNAcentral. Lineage: Eukaryota; Metazoa; Chordata; Mammalia; Primates; Cebidae.